GUAUGAACUUUGCAGUAGCUUGCACUACCAGCACCACCACCACCAGCAAGUUGGGGGCCUCUUUGAUUCAAAGGAAUUCUUUAGGACUAUUACAUAUUCCUGCCAUUCUUUUCUAGAAUCCUGUGAACCAAAGAGUACCAAGGUUAUUGUGACAGCAACGGAGAUGAUGAUGAUGAUGACGAGGUUCCAAUAUUGUUACUCCCUUCGUUUCUAAAUAUAAGUCCUUUUAGAGAUUUCAAUACGGACUACAUACGGAUGUAUAUAGACCCAUUUUAGAAUGUAGAUUCACUCAUUUCGCUCCAUAUGUAGUAUGUAUUGGAUAUACCAAUACCCAGAGAGUAUUUGCAAAGAUUCUGACAGUAUUUGCAAAGAUUCUGACAAUGUCACUGCUCGAUUCCUCAAAUCGCUGGGUCCGUCCCUACCCCCUCUGGAUUCCCAGCGCCCAACGGACCAACUGGUCGGAGGAGGCGGCCCCCGUGGAGGUGGGAUUGGGAACCAGCGACCUACCUUCCAACAUUUGUUGGUAAAGCUCCGCCACUGACAUGGUGACGGUGGUGAUCCCGGCGUACAAAACCAAAAUACCCGUCGAUCACCACCUGGUCACGGGAAUACUUUCAAAGAUUCUGACAGUGCCACCGCUCGGUUCCUCGCAUCGCUGGGUCCGUCCCUACAGCCUAAAGUUUCCCAGCACCCAACGGACCAUCUGGUCGGAGCAGGCGGCCCCCGCAGAGGUGAGAUCUGGAACCAGCGACCGACCAAACCGAGCGCUGCGCUUAUACACACACGCUCGCAAUGCGAGCGGGCGAGAGGGAGAGAGGUGGUGAGGGGUGGAGGUACCAGAUCGAAACACAGAGGAGACGAAGUGGAGACGGCGGCUCAGAUCUACCGCUUGGCGUCGCCGGAACCCACGACCGGAUGCGAGGCGGUCCCCCUGCCACGCGGUCCCCAGACCCCCCGCGACCGCAUCCGACGCCGGCGAAGCCGCG
RNAcentral lists this long non-coding RNA (986 nucleotides) under Hordeum vulgare. RNAcentral describes it as "long non-coding RNA (HVUL_LNC020570)". The record is from RNAcentral. Lineage: Eukaryota; Viridiplantae; Streptophyta; Magnoliopsida; Poales; Poaceae.